RNAcentral lists this ribosomal RNA (495 nucleotides) under uncultured bacterium. RNAcentral describes it as "partial 16S ribosomal RNA". It matches the Rfam family "Bacterial small subunit ribosomal RNA", at positions 28 to 507 of the family's 1533-position model. The record is from RNAcentral.
GACGAACGCUGGCGGCGUGCCUAAUACAUGCAAGUAGAACGCUGAAGGAGGAGCUUGCUUCUCUGGAUGAGUUGCGAACGGGUGAGUAACGCGUAGGUAACCUGCCUGGUAGCGGGGGAUAACUAUUGGAAACGAUAGCUAAUACCGCAUAAUAGUAGAUGUUGCAUGACAUUUGCUUAAAAGGUGCAAUUUCAUCACUACCAGAUGGACCUGCGUUGUAUUAGGUAGUUGGUGGGGUAACGGCUCACCAAGGCGACGAUACAUAGCCGACCUGAGAGGGGGAGCGGCCACACUGGGAAUGGGACACCGCCCAGAACCCUACGGGAGGCAGCAGUAGGGAAUCUUCGGCAAUGGACGGAAGUCUGAACGGGCAACGCCGCGUGGGGGGAGAAGGUUUUCGGAUCGUAAAGCUCUGUUGUAAGGGAAGAAAGAGUGUGAGAGUGGAAAGUUCACACUGUGACGGUAUCUUACCAGAAAGGGACGGCUAACUACGUG